ACAGAAGGAAGAGCAGGUUUCUCACGGCAUGUCAGCCCAGGGCUCCCACAUGUGGCCUCCCACCCUCAUCUUCACACAUUCUCACACCUUCCGGAGUACAGAGGCGAGUGGGGUGCAGAUGGUCCUCCCUACAUCGGCCUCCUGCCCCCAACAGGAUUCCUCACAUCCCAGGACCAGCUGGAAAAGGUGGUGAGAGUUGGAAAGAGACUGCUCAGUGAGGACUGCCCUGCGAACCAGCUUGGAUUCAUCCCGUUCACCUCCACGUUCUGCACUCGGGGCCGAGGGAAGGGAGGCAGCCCAGGCAGCUAGAGAACUUGAUGAAACACACUCAAUCUGAAUCUCGCUUGAUCGUCAUGCUGACCCAGUGAGUCUACUCAGGGUCAGGCAUCCUUUCCGACUACUCACUCAGCAGCGGAUCCCCACCCGCCUCUGACUCCCAGUGUCUUUCGGCUCCAACGUAAGUUCACCGAACGUCUAAGAGCUGAGGAUUCAAAGGCAUGUAAGACCGCCCCUGCCCUCAGCUGCAAGACCUGUCCGCGAUCCUACGAGCCCCAUUCCGCCCUCUUUCCCCGACCUUGGUCCCCCAUGGGCCCUACAACCAGGUCCCCGACUGACACCUUGACCAGCGAACACAGCAAACAGGCCCGCAGAUGCCGCAGGUCCUUCGGCACCGUCUCCAGGGCCAUCUUCGCCGAUGGGAAGAACAACAGGGAGAUAGACGACCACAGCCUGUGCACCCGCAGGAAGUAAAUAGCUCGUUACCCAGAAUGCCCACCACUUCCGGCGCUUAGACUUCCUCUUCCGGUGUGGGCGGACGCCAGCUCCGCCCCUACCCCCGCCAGAGGAGAUGGUUUCUCCCGCCAGCAGGCGGGGAGGCUGGGCGGCCGGCCGCCACCUGGGCCGGAGCGCGUCGCAGCCACCUGAGCCCGCCGAGGGCGCGGCGGAGGCUGUGUGGGGUAGUCAGCGGGCCCCCGGGGCGGGGGGGCGGCUGCGCUUGCGCGGGAGUGUGUCGGGCUGAGCCGCAGCGCCGAGACGCGGGCUGUUUGAUCUGGGCUGGUGGCCCUGGGCGUCGGUCCUGUUCCCCGAUGGUAACCCGAAGUUUGUUUUUUUUUGUUUUGUCUCCCCGUUUUAGAAGCAUUGGGGGCAGUGAAUCCACUGUCUCCCUCUGGAUUGUCUCUGCAGAGACCGAGAAGAAAUCCAGGGACAGCCCCACCCCUCCUUCCUAACUGCGAGAGCGCUAUAGGGUUUCCACUUGCUUCCCACAGGAAUGCUGGCCUGGGAGCUACGGCGGAAAAAAAUGCGUAUUUAUCUUUUAAAACUCCGUCUGUUUGCUCGUUCCGGCUGAUAAUUUAUACUUUGCGCAGUUCUUAGCGCUUAGACACGGUUCCUUUACUAAAGACCAUUUGUAGGAGAUUAGGUGUCCUUUUUUUCCCUUUCAUUUCACCGUCUAGGAAGCGAAAUGCCUUGUUCUAUAGGCACUAAACCACCACCCCUACCAAACCUUUCUCGGGGAAGCAGAAGGGGAACUUGUGCCUUGUGAGGAAGCGACAAAGGCCCCUUCUGGCCCUGGAGACUUCACGCCAAUGGAGCACCAGCUCUCUGUCCUCGCAAUAGCCCGAGUGCAGGCAGAACGCAGUCAUUUGUGUUUAUCUGAGAGGAGCUUUGGGAUAUAAAUAGUUUCAGGCCCCGCUGCGCUGUCAUUCCAGCCCAGCCUCCUGAUUGAGCUGCUUCCGGGCGGGCUUUCUUCUUGUUGGCGGUCCCAUGCUGUGUUCAGAUGGGCUCUGUGACAGGUUUGGAUGUUUUCUAUCACUGAAUAAAACUUUCCACUUUGGAACAUAUUUUCUACACUCUAUUAUCUCAUGUAAGUCCUGCAACAACUAUUAAGUAGGCCCAUUUUAUGGACUGAAAAAGCGAGGCACAGAGUAUUUGCCCAAGGUCUGAGUCACUGAAGUAUGAUAAUGUGUGAAGUGAACAGUAUAAUAAUAAUGACUGAAGCACAGUAAGAAUCCAGUCAUGCUUUCUCCUUCCCUGAUCUCACUAAGCCACACUUUUAGGGGCUUACAAACCAGUUCUUAUUGCCAAGCCCUCUACUCUACCCUAUCCUUUCAUGAAUCGGAGCCUAGCCUCUGAUAACAUAAAUAAUUUACUUCUCUUGAUGUAGAAAGAGAUGACGUUGUUACCCUGAGUGACAGUCACGACAGAACAAAACCACAAGACCAGACCACAUUUGUGGAUAAAUAUAUUAGCAAAUAAAUAUAUUUCUUAACAUAGUGCCUGAUUCAAGCGUCUGUCUGGUUCAGAUAUAAAUACCCAUGUGGGUACCUAGGUGCUAGUCUCCCCACUAACUGAGGGAAAAAGGUUCCCAGGUGGGGUCCUCUGCCCACUUUGCCACCACAUUCACAUUCCAAAUGGGAUAAUGCCUGAGGGGCCAAGAGUGGUCAGGCUGCCCUGGGGUGAAUGUCACCCUGAUGAGGCCCAUCAGCUCUUGUCCACUCAGUGAGGCCAGACUUGUGCUCUAAUCCACUCUCCUGUGGGUCCCUGGCCUGUAUGGCUUAUACUGGGG
This 2563-nucleotide long non-coding RNA is filed under the name Homo sapiens (human). Its description in RNAcentral is "PREDICTED lncRNA (TCONS_00111489)". Lineage: Eukaryota; Metazoa; Chordata; Mammalia; Primates; Hominidae. The record is from RNAcentral.